RNAcentral lists this ribosomal RNA (882 nucleotides) under uncultured marine group I thaumarchaeote. RNAcentral describes it as "SSU rRNA". It matches the Rfam family "Archaeal small subunit ribosomal RNA", at positions 26 to 914 of the family's 1478-position model. The record is from RNAcentral. Lineage: Archaea; Thermoproteati; Nitrososphaerota.
ACUGCUAUCGGAUGAUACUAAGCCAUGCGAGUCUUUGCAGUAAUGCAAGGCAGACGGCUCAGUAACACGUAGUCAACUUACCCUAUGGACGAGGAUAAUCUCGGGAAACUGAGCAUAAUACUCGAUAGAUCAUAAUGCCUGGAAUGGUUUAUGAUUAAAAUGAUUCGUCGCCAUAGGAUGGGACUGCGGCCUAUCAGCUUGUUGGUGAGGUAAUGGCCCACCAAGGCGAUUACAGGUACGGGCUCUGAGAGGAGAAGCCCGGAGAUGGGUACUGAGACAAGGACCCAGGCCCUAUGGGGCGCAGCAGGCGAGAAAACUUUGCAAUGUGCGAAAGCACGACAAGGUUAAUCCGAGUGAUUUCUGCUAAAGAAAUCUUUUGCAAGUCAUAAAACCACUAGUGAAUAAGGGGUGGGCAAGUUCUGGUGUCAGCCGCCGCGGUAAAACCAGCACCUCAAGUGGUCAGGAUGAUUAUUGGGCCUAAAGCAUCCGUAGCCUGCUUUGUAAGUUUUCGGUUAAAUCCAUGUGCUCAACGCAUGGGCUGCCGAAAAUACUGCAUAGCUAGGGAGUGGGAGAGGUAGACGGUACUCAGUAGGUAGGGGUAAAAUCCUUUGAUCUAUUGAUGACCACCUGUGGCGAAGGCGGUCUACCAGAACACGUUCGACGGUGAGGGAUGAAAGCUGGGGGAGCAAACCGGAUUAGAUACCCGGGUAGUCCCAGCUGUAAACGAUGCAGACUCGAUGAUGCAUUGGCAUAAUAGCCAUUGCAGUGUCGCAGGGAAGCCGUUAAGUCUGCCGCCUGGGAAGUACGUACGCAAGUAUGAAACUUAAAGGAAUUGGCGGGGGAGCACCACAAGGGGUGAAGCCUUGCGGUUCAAUGGAUUCA